Molecule: transfer RNA, 74 nt
Filed under: Enterocloster aldenensis
Lineage: Bacteria; Bacillati; Bacillota; Clostridia; Lachnospirales; Lachnospiraceae
Description: [Clostridium] aldenense tRNA-Glu
Rfam family: tRNA
About the family: Transfer RNA (tRNA) molecules are approximately 80 nucleotides in length. Their secondary structure includes four short double-helical elements and three loops (D, anti-codon, and T loops). Further hydrogen bonds mediate the characteristic L-shaped molecular structure. tRNAs have two regions of fundamental functional importance: the anti-codon, which is responsible for specific mRNA codon recognition, and the 3' end, to which the tRNAs corresponding amino acid is attached (by aminoacyl-tRNA synthetases). tRNAs cope with the degeneracy of the genetic code in two manners: having more than one tRNA (with a specific anti-codon) for a particular amino acid; and 'wobble' base-pairing, i.e. permitting non-standard base-pairing at the 3rd anti-codon position.
Source: RNAcentral
GGCGCUAUAGUGGAAUUGGUUAUCACGCCAGACUCUCAAUCUGGAGACUGCGAGUUCAAGCCUCGCUAGCGUCA